AAUAAAAUGGCUGAAUCUUUAUUAAGCGAUAGAUUGUAAAUCUUUUUAUGAGUCUUCCUCUUUUAUUA
Molecule: transfer RNA, 68 nt
Filed under: Allobathynella sp. JHS-2017
Lineage: Eukaryota; Metazoa; Arthropoda; Malacostraca; Bathynellacea; Parabathynellidae
Description: tRNA-Tyr
Rfam family: tRNA
About the family: Transfer RNA (tRNA) molecules are approximately 80 nucleotides in length. Their secondary structure includes four short double-helical elements and three loops (D, anti-codon, and T loops).
Source: RNAcentral